RNA transcript from Schistocerca gregaria, 3500 nucleotides. RefSeq lists it as uncharacterized. NCBI's taxonomy places the organism in Eukaryota, Metazoa, Arthropoda, Insecta, Orthoptera, Acrididae. The record is from RefSeq and is a predicted model, not a curated record. The transcript has 4 exons.
GCAGGCGCGGGGUGAAUUUCUAUUAAGAUUGGGUCACUGAACGCAAUCUUUUUGCUCUUCAAACGCCAUGAUGUCAUCGAUGAUCAGGCCUAUCUUUCUACACAAUGCGAGAGUGACAGCAUUUGACGUACACCCAUGGCACCCAUGGAUUGCAUGCGCAUUGGAGACUGGAAUAAUAAAAGUGUUCAAUAUCGAGAGUGGCGAGCUGGUGUAUCAAUACUCGACGGUGGAGGAGGUGGGUGAGAAGGAGCCAGUACUCUAUAAAGGAACGAUAGAAGAACAGGAGAAAUCGAGCAGAAAGCCAGAAUUGAAGGUCGCGAAGAAAGCAAUAGGUACGAUCAAGGUAUUGAAGUUCAUCGACAUCAGGGUCAGAAUCGCGAAGUAUCAAGAAGAACUGAGCAUGAAGGAGGAGGGGAUAGAAAAGGUGAUAGAGAAAUGGGAGGAGAUGAAGAGAAUGUACACGGAAGACAAUCCCAAUUUGUUGGUAGCGUGCGGAGAGCACAGGGCUUGCAUUUUUGACUAUACAUCGUACGAGUUUAAGGAGUUAGAGAUGCAGGGCACCAAGGCGACGUGCGCAGAAUUGCUGGCGGUAAAUAAUCAGGUGGCGUUCGGAUUCGCUGAUGGUUCGGUGAUUCUAUGGGAUGUAGUUUCUAAUAGCUAUUCAGAAAGGAUGGCAACGAAAUCGAAGAAGCAGGUCGUAAUCUUGAAAUCAUACAUAUUUUCAGAUAAAACCUACCUGGUCUCCGUGACAGCAGACGGAACAUGGAACAAAUGGGAAAUAGGUAAUCAGAAGGAUGGCAUGGUGUUAUUGGAGACGAAAGUGUGCAAGUACGACAUAUAUGAUGCAUGCCUCGAAUUGACGAAGAAAAACUUGCUCUUGUUGACAAGUCAGGGAAUCAUAAAGCAUAAUUACCAUAUGCUCGAGGACACCGGCACAUUCAUGCCGCCACAUAAAAUGCAGUUGGUCUCCAUAUGUCAUUUGUAUGGGACACACCUAAAUAACACGGUGGCACUGAUUUCGAAAGAAGGACGCCAAAUUUUCUGUUACGAUUUCAGGUCGGCAACCCCGCCGAGGCCAAUUUAUGACAUCAGCAUGUUAUCCAAGGGGAACGAAACAAUAAGGGGCCAUAAGUUCCAAUCGGUGAAAACCUAUUCUUACCAGCCACGGUUGGUGAUAACAUCUUCGCAUAGCCUAAUGGUUGCAGAAUACGAUAGAAAUGUAUUUCCGAACUUUUGCCGCAUCCCAGUGGCCAUUGGCACUUAUCAAGGACCCACACAACUGUAUUAUUGUAAAGACUCGUCGAUCUAUAUGAUUUCACUGAAACAAGAAAAAAACAUCCUGCAAAGAAAAAGAUGCAAUUCACGACCCGUCAAAAUCCCAUUGAAAACACAAGAGUCUCUCUCUAAGAGCAGGAUCGAAGUGUCCGUUAGCCCGACAGGAAGAUAUGCAACCAUCUUUUAUUCCGACCAUAACCAACUAGAAAUCUAUCUGAAAGAAACCUGGUCCCAACUCAGUACCAUGAACGACGUUUUUAGUCCAGUAUGGGCACCAAAUGCUCCUGACCGCCUGGCCUGGCUCCAGAUGUCCAUUCGCCCAGCUCGAGAUGACAAAAAAAGGCGCUUCUUCACUUAUGCUCUGUCUGUCAAGGCAGUUGGGGAACCCUCGCCGGUGUUGCAAAUAGAUCUCUUCGAAUUUCCUGUGCCUCAAAAACCAAUUCUGCACUCGGGAUAUCUUUUAUCACUCCAUUUUAUCGAACCCGACCAAAGACACAGUUGUCCAGAUAGUGAUGCCACCCUCUAUACUUGGACCGGUCAAAAAAUCAAACACCAACUCCCCGCCCCUCUCUCUAUUCACUGGAACGCGUCUUCACAGUACAUGCUCGUCUGCUACCAAAAAUUCGCCUGCCUGUUCUCCACAAACCCAAAAAUGCACAUCGUCGAAAUCAUCUAUGAUCAAAUCAUCAGCUGUCUUUGGUACUUCGAUAUGCUCUUUUACCUCACCAACCGCCAAUUGAAAUGCCUAUUUGCUCACCCCUCCAACGACAUCAUCAUACCCAUGCCCUAUCUCGACUCCUUAUCUUCUCACCCUCUGUCCAACCUACCCUCAUAUACUCCUUACAGUUCUAUCGCCGGCAUAUGCUGUGGACACAUACUCCUCUUCGACUUCAAUAUGAGACUCUUUCAGCUACCCCUCAACAGCAUGCUCUUCCAGUUCUGCUCUCGUGUCGAUCUGAAACGCCCAAACCUUGCUCUCCCCAUAUCCAACCUCCUCCCUCCAAAUUUUCGCCCAUUCAUGGCCUCCUUCCUCGUCUCUCGCGGCUAUGCUCACCUCCUGCAAGAAUUCCGCAUUCCCCCUGAAAUCUCUGUCAGAGCGUGCCUCAAAUACAGACAACUCUCUCACGCUUCCCAACUCAUACACGAUAUAACGUGCUCCUUCCUAGACUCUAACAGCACGCUCGACUGCUCCAAAAUCAUAGCCCUCGGCAGACUUGCCAUACACCUAGCCCUCAUCACCAAAAACAAAUACGCUCUAGAAUUCCUCCUCUCAUCACUCUCAAAACUUUCCCCUGAUCUGUACUCUCAUCUCGCUCUAUUCCUCUAUGCGAACCACGACUACCCUGGACUCUCCUUGCUCCACCAAAAACUGCUCUCCUCUCCCUGCAAAGCCAUAUCCUCCCAAGCAAAAUGCACCGCCGCCUACAUCUCCAAUUUCACCCUCAUUUCCCAUUUGAAACUCACCAGAUCCUACCCCGAAUUCUUUCUCCUCACCCUCUCGGACAAAAAAUCGUUCCUAUCUCUCUGGAAUACGUCCAAUGCGUCCGUCACGCAACACUUACAACCCCCUGCGCCCAACGUUCAAAUAACACCCAACAAAGACACACAGCAAAACGAAUACUCCUCUCACUCCAUAUAAGGCAUUCUUCACACCCACAACGUGUAAAACGGGGAAAUCACUAUAAAAAACUCUCCGAAUCGGACUUUUUUUUCCUGUCUUGACGGGCCAUCAAGUCAAACGCGCGCCAAUCCACAUGCUCGCCGGUAAGAACGGAUCUGACAAAAAAGCGUGUUUUUAAAAUUUUUUGCAACCGUGCGCUUGUUUUCUUUUUUGCGUAUUAAAUGUCAGACAGAACCACGGACCAGCAUGUCUGAUCUACUUGAUACCGCCACGAAAACCAACUCUAAGACGGUCGAUGAGCCCUUCGACCUCAUUAGACUCUCCUUAGAUCAGCGCGUCUACGUGAAGCUUCGAGGCGACCGAGAACUAAGGGGAAAGUUAUACGCGUAUGACCAGCACCUGAACAUGGUUCUGGAAGACGUAGAGGAAACAUACACCAGGGUCGAAAUAAACGAAGAAACCAAAAAAGAGAUCAUCAACCCCAUCAAGAGGAAAAUAGGCGUUUUGUUCGUGCGCGGAGACGGCGUUAUCCUAGUGGCCCCGCCCGUCUGCAUCUAGCCACGCUGCGUGGAGUUGCUCGAGAGCUGCGCCUGACACUAAAUAA